Sardina pilchardus (European sardine) is the source of this 120-nucleotide ribosomal RNA. The record is from RefSeq and is a predicted model, not a curated record. Lineage: Eukaryota; Metazoa; Chordata; Actinopteri; Clupeiformes; Clupeidae.
GCUUACGGCCAUACCGCGCUGAGCACGGCCCGCUCUCGUCUGAUCUCGGAAGCUAAGCAGCGCAGGGCCCGGUUAGUACUUGGAUGGGAGACCGCCUGGGAAUACCGGGUGCUGUAAGCG